RNAcentral lists this long non-coding RNA (540 nucleotides) under Marmota monax (woodchuck). Lineage: Eukaryota; Metazoa; Chordata; Mammalia; Rodentia; Sciuridae. The record is from RNAcentral.
AUCACCCAUGUGCUGCAGUUUACAGAGAGUGCUUUGACCAGAGAAAAGUUUCCUAAUGUGACAGGAAGGUUUCAGCAAGAGAUACAGUGAGCUGGUGAUGCUAGGGAAACUGGGAUCUCCUUGAUUUUAUUCAGUCCACAUUGAUUCAUUCUGAAGAAGGUGCUAAGUAUACACUGCACGCUGUUCACUUGACAGCCAACCAGAAGGUGGGAGUCCCCAUGCCAUUCAAAGUGCCCUUUCAGGAAAUGAAGGUGCAAAGUGUCGACAAGGGGUUUCUGUCCUCCAUCUCCCAAUGACCCUCUGCAGAUCUAUUUCAGGGCAGGCAUUACACCAACAGGAACAUCAUCGGAUGCUCCGUGUGGCCCCAGCUGCUGCAGCCCAGCGCAGAGGGGAGAUUGACACGUGAUUCUUUGCAGUCGCCAGAGGUAACUUGUCACGUACCUAAACCCAAAGGGAUCUGAUGGUCAAGGUGCCAUCUCAUGCGGCAAUGCCCCUGACUGGAUGCGGCGUUGAGAUGUCCAAGGCCAGUGUGGAUCAGUG